UCUACUGGGGUGAACCGUAUAAGGUGAGUAAUGAGUCUCUCUCAAAAUCUCCCAUCGGAUCUCUAAAUCCAUAGGUACACACAGCCGGUCCCUGUACCGCAAUACUCCCGAACUGUCCACUGAAAAGGCCUUCGCCUGUCCCCUCCAACUACUCUCGAAUCCUCAACAAAUGAGAGUCUCCACUCUACUUCUCCCUGAUCCUAUCC
RNAcentral lists this long non-coding RNA (206 nucleotides) under Ananas comosus (pineapple). RNAcentral's name for it is "long non-coding RNA (ACOM_LNC029360)". Lineage: Eukaryota; Viridiplantae; Streptophyta; Magnoliopsida; Poales; Bromeliaceae. The record is from RNAcentral.